UAGUCCACGCCGUAAACGAUGAGAACUAGGUGCAGCGGAUAUUGACCUCUGCUGUGCCGUAGCUAACGCGUUAAGUUCUCCGGCCUGGGGAGUACGGCCGACAAGGCUAAAACUCAAAGGAAGUUGACGGGGGCCCGCACAAGCGGUGGAGCAUGUGGUUUAAUUCGAUGAUACGCGAGGAACCUUACCUGGACUAGAAUGCUAGUGGGAGUGAUGUGAAAGCUGAUCGUCCUUCGGGACUGCUAGCAAGGUGCUGCAUGGUUGUCGUCAGCUCGUGCCGUGAGGUGUUGGGUUAAGUCCCGCAACGAGCGCAACCCUUAUCCUUAGUUGCCAACACGUAAAGUGGGGACUCUAGGGAGACUGCCGGCGCAAGCCGAGAGGGAAGGUGGGGGAUGACGUCAAAUCAUCAUGGGCCUUUAUGUCCAGGGGCUACGACACGUGCUACAAUGGGUGCACACAACGGGGCAAGCGAAGGUCGCGAGACUGGG
This 488-nucleotide ribosomal RNA is filed under the name uncultured bacterium. RNAcentral's name for it is "bacterial SSU rRNA". It matches the Rfam family "Bacterial small subunit ribosomal RNA", at positions 791 to 1267 of the family's 1533-position model. The record is from RNAcentral.